Molecule: unclassified non-coding RNA, 406 nt
Filed under: Cercozoa sp.
Lineage: Eukaryota; Cercozoa
Description: partial contains small subunit ribosomal RNA, internal transcribed spacer 1, and 5.8S ribosomal RNA
Rfam family: Eukaryotic small subunit ribosomal RNA (bases 1-47)
Source: RNAcentral
AAAGUCGUAACAAGGUUUCCGUAGGUGAACCUGCGGAAGGAUCAUUAACACGUAUCCAACGUUAAACCCCCCUGUGAACUUUAACUUCUUGCUCUUGAAGCACAUGUUAAAUUGCAAUCCCUGGUAAAUCAUUGUUGAACAGAUUUUGAUUCAGGGACCUCAGUUUAUUGGGCUUUGAUUGAAGCGAUCGUUGCAAGCGACCUGGUUUCCCCAAGCAGUCAGUGUCUGAAAGUGUCAUUGGCUGUGUAAGGAUAACGCCAUCGAUCACUGGAGGCCGAACACCGGCCGGUGAACAGGACGCCGCGGCCCUCGGCCCCCCAUAUUAACCCCACUACCAGAACUCGCCUCGUAGGAAACUGCUGGGCAACAAAACGAACAACUGUUAACAAUGGAUAUCUUGGUUCUC